Molecule: long non-coding RNA, 1508 nt
Organism: Dama dama (fallow deer)
Lineage: Eukaryota; Metazoa; Chordata; Mammalia; Artiodactyla; Cervidae
Exons: 4
Source: RefSeq, a predicted model, not a curated record
GAGAGAGGGUGAGGAGAGGGUGAACUGCGUGCCGGACCAGUCCAUGUCACUGGGGGCCGCCUCAGAGUCCUGUCUGCUGAUACUUGAGGAAGGGAUGCUAUUUAGGACCUGAACACAAUGGCCGUCAUACAGGCUCCUGACUGUUCCCUUGGGACCCUCCACCUUAUCUGCUUAACAAGCCCACUUGUGCUGGCAUCUGAAGAGCAGGCAAUCUCCUGAGACUGAAUUCUUCACUUGUGGGGUCUAAUGCCUACUCCAGGUGGUGAGUGUCAGAACAGGAUUGAAUUGUAGGACCCCCUGUUGGUGUCAGUGACUCACUGUUGGAACCAGGUAGCUUCCAGUUUUUAUUCACCAGAUCCAAGAACUGGUGCACCGAAGUGGUGGUUUGGUGUAAGCCUUCCUGACCUACUCAGAAAUUCCCUGAUGGACCCUGACCGCGAUGACCAACACCCAGACGCACUCCUGUCACUGGAGACACGCAAGAGCAAGGACGGGAAUUGUUCCAGCAGAUGUGCCCUGAACCCCCGUUUGAAGGACAAUCAGCAGGAUGUCUUCUUUCACCCAAGCACAGAACCAAACGACAAUGAAAGAAACAGAACCAAGUGGAAGAGACGAAAUCAAGCAGUUCAAAGCUUAUCGGUAGGAAAUGAAGAUAUGCGCCACAGACACACAAAGAUGAGAUGCAGUGCUUCACUCGAGACCAGCCCUAGGCCUAGAGAUAGACCCACCCACAGCAACGUUUUAUGGGGGUUUGAAAAGAAAAACUAACUUCUUUUAAAAAUAGAGGAGUUUGGACAGAAACAUAGAAGAGAAGGCCAUUGGGAGACAGAGGCAAAUACUGCAGCGACGCAGCCACAAGUUCGGCAGCGCCUAGAACCACCAGAAGCUAAAAAAGACAAGGAAGGGUCAACCCCUCUCCCUAGAGCCUUCAGAGAAGUGUGUGUCUCCACCAACACCUUGAUUUUGGACUCUGGGCUCCAGAAAUGUAAGAAGACCAAUGUCUAUUGCUUUAAGUCAAAAAAAAAGGAGGGGUGGGGAGUAGUUUUUAUCUUUGUAGAUCCCAAUUUACUCACUCAUUCAUCCAAUACAGUUGGUUGAUUGCCUGUAUGUGCCAGUCAGGACUGAGGAUGCAGGGUGAGUGAGUCAGGCUCCCGGCCGCAUCAGCUGCUCCCAUUGGACAGAGGAGAGAUGGAAACGACCACAGGCCAGUGGCAUGAAUUCUUUGACAACACAGUGACCAGGGCUGCUGGACUGAACUCAGAAUGCAAUCGCUCUAGUGUGACAUAUCCAUUUUAAUCUGUAUAGCAAUUGAACAGUUCUUUCUCAGUCACUGAAGCAAACCAACAGAUGGUUAUUUAAUUGUUUGUAAAACCAAACAUUAACUACUGGUCUUGGUAAUAUAUCUCUUCUGCUACGGGUCAGAAAACAGAUCUCAGACAACAGUCUGGAAGAUGCUAAAAAAACAUCCAAAGUCAAAAUGUGGAAACUAAGAUUUCAGUUUUGUUGUU